UGGUAGAGGAGCAUUGUUAGCGCAGCGAAGCUGUACCGAUAAGGAGCAGUGGAGUGCUAAGAAGAGAGAAUGCCGGAAUGAGUAGCGAGAGGAAGGUGAGAAUCCUUCCGGCCGAAUAUCCAAGGUUUCCAGAGUAAAGCUGAUCUGCUCUGGGUAAGUCGGGGCCUAAGGCGAGGUCGAAAGACGUAGUCGAUGGAUAACAGGUGGAGAUUCCUGUACUAUGUGUACCCAGAACUGUGGGGACGCAUGUGGAGAGCAUGAGCCGGGAAAGAGAAAACCGGUACAAGCGGGGUAGGAGUAAGGACAGCAAAUCUUCCUUACAAUCCGAAGACGUGAUGUGGACCGAACCAAAGUAGGGAAGCAUGUGAGCCAUGUGCCAAGAAAAGCCGCUAUUGUGAUACACAUACCCGUACCGUAAACCGACACAGGUGGAUGAGGAGAGAAUCCUAAGGCCGACGGAAGAAGCAUUGUUAAGGAACUCGGCAAAAUGACCCCGUAACUUCGGGAGAAGGGGUGCCCUGUGAAAGCAGGGCCGCAGAGAAUAGGCUCAAGCAACUGUUUAGCAAAAACACAGGUCUAUGCGAAACCGAAAGGUGAGGUAUAUGGGCUGACGCCUGCCCGGUGCUGGAAGGUUAAGAGGAGAAGUCAGGCAACGAAGCUUCGAAUUUAAGCCCCAGUAAACGGCGGCCGUAACUAUAACGGUCCUAAGGUAGCGAAAUUCCUUGUCGGGUAAGUUCCGACCCGCACGAAAGGCGUAAUGAUUUGAGCACUGUCUCGACAAUGCAUCCGGUGAAAUUGAAGUACCAGUGAAGAUGCUGGUUACCUGCGCCAGGACGGAAAGACCCCAUGGAGCUUUACUCCAGCUUGAUACUGGGAUUCGAUACUGUAUGUACAGGAUAGGUGGGAGACGUUGAACAUAGAACGCCAGUUUUAUGUGAGUCGCUGUUGGGAUACCACCCUUGCAGUAUUGGAUUUCUAACCUGCACCCAUGACCUGGGUGGGGGACAAUGUCUGGCGGGGAGUUUGACUGGGGCGGUCGCCUCCGAAAGGGUAUCGGAGGCGCUCAAAGGUUCCCUCAGAAUGGUUGGAAACCAUUCGAAGAGUGCAAAGGCAGAAGGGAGCUUGACUGUGACACCGACGGGUGGAACAGGUACGAAAGUAGGACUUAGUGAUCCGGUGGUAUAAAGUGGGAUUGCCAUCGCUCAACGGAUAAAAGCUACCCUGGGGAUAACAGGCUUAUCACUCCCAAGAGUUCACAUCGACGGAGUGGUUUGGCACCUCGAUGUCGGCUCAUCGCAUCCUGGGGCUGUAGCAGGUCCCAAGGGUUGGGCUGUUCGCCCAUUAAAGCGGUACGCGAGCUGGGUUCAGAACGUCGUGAGACAGUUCGGUCCCUAUCCGGCGCAGGCGGAGGAUAUUUGAGAGGAGCUGUCCUUAGUACGAGAGGACCGGGAUGGACGGACCACUGGUGUAUCUGUUGGCUAUCAGAGCCAUGGCAGAGUAGCCAAGUCCGGCAGGGAUAAACGCUGAAGGCAUCUAAGCGUGAAGCCCCCCUCAAGAUGAGAUAUCCCUCAGAAAUGAGUAAGACCCCUUGAAGACUACGAGGUAGAUAGGAAUGAGGUGUAAGCACAGCAAUGUGUUCAGCUGACAUUUACUAAUCGGUCGAGGGCUUGACCAA
RNAcentral lists this ribosomal RNA (1675 nucleotides) under Waltera acetigignens. Its description in RNAcentral is "partial 23S ribosomal RNA". It matches the Rfam family "Bacterial large subunit ribosomal RNA", at positions 1226 to 2925 of the family's 2925-position model. The record is from RNAcentral. Lineage: Bacteria; Bacillati; Bacillota; Clostridia; Lachnospirales; Lachnospiraceae.